GAUGAACGCUGGCGGCGUGCCUAAUACAUGCAAGUCGAGCGAACGGACGAGAAGCUUGCUUUUCUGAUGUUAGCGGCGGACGGGUGAGUAACACGUGGAUAACCUACCUAUAAGACUGGGAUAACUUCGGCAAACCGGAGCUAAUACCGGAUAAUAUUUUGAACCGCAUGGUUCAAAAGUGAAAGACGGUCUUGCUGUCACUUAUAGAUGGAUCCGCGCUGCAUUAGCUAGUUGGUAAGGUAACGGCUUACCAAGGCAACGAUGCAUAGCCGACCUGAGAGGGUGAUCGGCCACACUGGAACUGAGACACGGUCCAGACUCCUACGGGAGGCAGCAGUAGGGAAUCUUCCGCAAUGGGCGAAAGCCUGACGGAGCAACGCCGCGUGAGUGAUGAAGGUCUUCGGAUCGUAAAACUCUGUUAUUAGGGAAGAACAUAUGUGUAAGUAACUGUGCACAUCUUGACGGUUCCUAAUCAGAAAGCCACGGCUAACUACGUG
Molecule: ribosomal RNA, 497 nt
Filed under: uncultured bacterium
Lineage: Bacteria
Description: partial 16S ribosomal RNA
Rfam family: Bacterial small subunit ribosomal RNA
Source: RNAcentral